Molecule: ribosomal RNA, 159 nt
Filed under: Triticum aestivum (bread wheat)
Lineage: Eukaryota; Viridiplantae; Streptophyta; Magnoliopsida; Poales; Poaceae
Description: partial small subunit ribosomal RNA
Source: RNAcentral
GUGCCCGGACCCGAGUCCCCACAUCCGCUUUUAUCCGCCCUGCAGCCCGAGCAACACAACAUUAGCCCCCCCCCCCCAUUCUAUGCUGACCCGGGCCGGGGCUCGCCUUUUGGGAAGCCCGUUCACACCGCGGUCCCGGCCCGGCUGGCCUGCCAGUAG